Non-coding RNA from Pteropus alecto (black flying fox), 118 nucleotides. The record is from Rfam. NCBI's taxonomy places the organism in Eukaryota, Metazoa, Chordata, Mammalia, Chiroptera, Pteropodidae.
GUCUACGGCCAUGCCACCCUGAACAUGCUCAAUCUCAUCUGAUCUUGGAAGCUAAACAGGGUCGGCCCUGGUUAGUACUUGGAUGGGAGACCACCUGGAAUACCAGGUGCUGUUGGUG